Molecule: ribosomal RNA, 462 nt
Filed under: uncultured bacterium
Lineage: Bacteria
Description: partial 16S ribosomal RNA
Rfam family: Bacterial small subunit ribosomal RNA
Source: RNAcentral
GACGAACGCUGGCGGCGUGCUUAACACAUGCAAGUCGAGCGGUAAGGCCUUUCGGGGUCCACGUGCGGCGAACGGGUGAGUAACACGUGGGUGAUCUGCCCUGCACUUCGGGAUAAGCCUGGGAAACUGGGUCUAAUACCGGAUAUGACCUCCUAUCGCAUGGUGGGUGGUGGAAAGAUUUAUCGGUGCAGGAUGGGCCCGCGGCCUAUCAGCUUGUUGGUGGGGUAAUGGCCUACCAAGGCGACGACGGGUAGCCGACCUGAGAGGGUGACCGGCCACACUGGGACUGAGACACGGCCCAGACUCCUACGGGAGGCAGCAGUGGGGAAUAUUGCACAAUGGGCGAAAGCCUGAUGCAGCGACGCCGCGUGAGGGAUGACGGCCUUCGGGUUGUAAACCUCUUUCAGCAGGGACGAAGCGCAAGUGACGGUACCUGCAGAAGAAGCACCGGCUAACUACGUG